GGCCCCUUGGUCAAGCGGUUAAGACGGCGCCCUCUCACGGCGCAAUCAGGAGUUCGAUUCUCCUAGGGGUCACCA
This 75-nucleotide transfer RNA is filed under the name Clostridiales bacterium. RNAcentral's name for it is "tRNA-Glu". It matches the Rfam family "tRNA". Rfam says of the family: Transfer RNA (tRNA) molecules are approximately 80 nucleotides in length. Lineage: Bacteria; Bacillati; Bacillota; Clostridia; Eubacteriales. The record is from RNAcentral. RNAcentral also lists the same sequence under 1 other name.